Molecule: non-coding RNA, 74 nt
Organism: Parelaphostrongylus tenuis
Lineage: Eukaryota; Metazoa; Nematoda; Chromadorea; Rhabditida; Metastrongylidae
Source: the annotation of a GenBank genome assembly
GCCUCGGUGUUGUCAUGGUAUCAGCACGCGUCCGCGGUAUGGAUAAAACGCGAGUUCGAAUCUCGCCUGAGGCC